This is an RNA transcript of Magnolia sinica, 3058 nucleotides long. It is a transcript of the gene named glutamyl-tRNA(Gln) amidotransferase subunit A, chloroplastic/mitochondrial-like, with no coding region annotated. The record is from RefSeq and is a predicted model, not a curated record. The transcript has 8 exons. Lineage: Eukaryota; Viridiplantae; Streptophyta; Magnoliopsida; Magnoliales; Magnoliaceae.
UUCAGAUCGAUUAUGGUUAGGUUUAGGGUUUCGAUUCAUACGAAAAAGAGAGAGAAAGGAAGAGUUGGGCAAGGACACCAUUAAGCCCCUCGACACUUGCUGCCUCUGCCUCAAGCCCUUCAUCGACCAUCUCUGCUGCCAGUAAGGUCAUGUCUUCUACAAGGAAUGAAUUCUCGAAUGCCUCCUUUCUCAAAAGAAAGACAACCAAAGAAAUUUCAAUAGGCUUUCGAUUGAGUUAAGAGUGGCUUACGAGGGACUUUUGGGAAGAGAUCCAGAAUGUAAUAUGGGACAGACAUAAAGCAUUGAGGCCCGAUGAUGUCACCAUGGAUUUCUUCCUAACUUCUUUGGAUGUUAUUUGUAGCAACAGGUGUGCAUCAUGUUCCUUGUUUUUUUUUUUUUUUGUAUAUAUUUCAGAAGUUAUAUGGUGUACGGGGACCAUUUCAGGUGAUCCAGACUAUUGAUAUGAUGUGCGUUCUAGUGGAUGGACCGUAUGUGGAAAGCCUUGAGGAUUGGUAGAGAUGAUUUCCAUAUUUCAUAGAGUUCUUUUAAUGAGUUCUUAAGAAUGCCUAGUAGAUGUUUGUGGAAAUGCCAAGGAGAAGGCUGGUAGCCCUGGGGUGUACCGCCUUGAUUAAAUUUUGUUCUCUUUGAAUUGGAUUGGUUUGGAUUCGAUUGAAAAUUUCUUGUUGGCUUCAUGUUGGCUUGCUUACAUGAUGCGAAUUGCUUGCAAUUUUUUGUUACAUAAUAGAGAAUCAUAUAUGCUUAAUAUAUAUAGAAAAAUGUGCUGCCAGCUAUUCUCCUGCAUUUUUGUUCUUGUAAUAUCCAUUGAUUUUUCCAUUUUAGUCACUAAAUUGACUAUAGGGAUCUUAUUUUUUUAGAUUUUUUCCCCUUCUUUUGGAAGUUAUGUUUUGUAUUUUCUUGCUGCCUUUGUGUGAUUUAAUAACAAGCAUCACAAAAAUCCAUCCCUUUUUGCAUCUGUCCAGGGAUUUGAGUGACAAUGAGUUAGUCGGCACAAUUCCACCAAUACUAGAUAUGAGUUAGUCCAGUGUUUCAGAUUUCAUUUUUAUUUUUACCUGGGUUUCAAAUGAAUUGUUUUUGUGAUGGGUUGUCUGCUACUUGGUUCAAUGGGACCACCAAUAAAGUGGCGAGCGGGACUUUGUAGAAAGCAAGUUGGGCGAGGGUCAUACAGAGGUAGAUAGUAGAGUGUUGUUUGUUGACUUCGCGAUAUCGUUUUCGACAGUGUUGGGCGUGUUUGGUUCGCUGUUUGUUCUCUCAGCAGAUCGGAAGUGCUACUACACGGAGGCAGUUGCUGAGGAGCCUUUGCCACAAUACACUAUGGAAAGGUCUUCUUCAUGUCUUCUUUGCUCAACGUGCAACAUCAAAGGUAUUUCUCUUGAUUUAAUGGUCUCAUGCAGCUAGCUUUCUACAACUUACCGUUUAGGCACGUGUUUUGUUUUCUUCUUGAGCAGCUUCUCUUUUGGAACUACUAUACAGUUGGCCACGUUUUGGCGGAAGAUUUUUCUGAUUAUUUGUUAGUGGAAGCUGUUCUCCUAUACAUUUGUCAACAUUUGGGUGGAGGCAUUCUAUGCUUGGAAUGCAUUUUGAUAGCGGAAGCUGUUCCUCUUAUUUCAUGUUUGAUUUUUAGGUGAAUUGCAUUGGUAUUGCCAAUUAUUUGCUCAUUGUGAUUUGCUUUCACUACAACAAAUACGUGCGUUACUGGCGCUAGUGGCCCCCGUACCGUAAGAAUUGCCAGCGCUGUCUUGUGGCUGCCCGUAAGUUUGGAUCAGGGAAAGAGGAGAAAUGAGAACCUGCCUAUUAAGUUUCCCAUUCCCUUCUCUGCACCAAAUGCAAGGGGGAUUGGUUCUAGAGUUCAGUGGAAAAGCAGAACUAUUGUUUGGAUUACCAAAACAGGCCCUAAGGUCUACUAUUUAUCUGCUGGAAUCAGUUUCAUCUGAUUAGGUAGUUCAUUGAAAAGGAGAAGUUUUACAAAUUAUGUUGCUUUACUGUCACAUUUUUUGCCUUUGGUGUGGUGGGUGACUGCUUCAUGUGGUGGACGGUGACAUGCAUAAUUUGCGGACUGUAACUCUGAAGCAGCAGCAUCAUCAGUUAUAAGUUCAAACUUCCCUUUCUCUUUGUUUCUGUCCUUGAAUUACUUUCAUGAAUUUGGAACUGUUCUUUGGAAAAUUUUCGCAGGUUAAAACCAGGACAACAAACCAUAACACAUACAAUUUGAGCUCCCAUGUUAUGCAAUAUGGCGAUGUUGGGCUUAGCAAGGAGCAUGUCUUCUUGUAUAUUGGAGGUUCCUGACUAUGCAUCUCAUCUUAAAUCUGUUGAACUGUUGGAGUCUAAACCUUUGAAGGGUCUGAGGGUCAGGUUGAUUCAUGAAACUCUUGGAGAUGGUGUUGAUGGGGGAGUAAUAUCCUCUAUUAAAGCUGCUGCUUCACACUUUGAAGAACUUGGAUCUGUCGUGACAAGAGGUAUCACUCCCUUCUUUUUCUCUCGGGUUACUAGCCUACCAUAUUCUAGCUUCAUCAGUCUUCUUCUAAUUUAUCACGUUACGAUGGUAUAAGAUAUGGAAAACAAGUUGCAGUAGAUGAACUAAUUUCUCUCUAUGGAGAUUCUCAAGCUAAUGGUUUUGGUCCUUAGGUCAAGAUGAGAAUUUUAAUGGGAACUUGUGCUCUUUCUGCUGGAUAUUAUGAUGCAUAUUACAAACUUGCCCAGCAGUGUUUUAGGUGAGGACCUUGGUUCAGAAAAGCUUCAAGGCAGCAUUGGAUGAAAAUGACAUCCUCCUUUCAUCUGCUGCACCAUCAGCGGCUUAUAAGAUAGUGUUGUUUGAAGGUGAAAAGAUAAGAUCCUCUGGCAAUGUAUGCAGGUGACAUCAUGACUGUAAUCCUCUGCCGCUCUAUGCUUAUCAACGCAUUGCAGUUUUUUUCUAUUCCGAAUAAGUGCAUCAUUAUUUUGAAAAUAAAUAUUUUUUUUAAAGAUUGUUUGAAAAAUAAAUAAAUGAUCUUUGCACAUACAAAUCUGCUGAAUGAAUGGAAUUUAGUUUAUUCAACUCAGC